AUGCCUCGAGGACGGAGAUAAUGUACUUCCGUCACUUCCUAAAAGAGAUGUAGGGCCGGUACUCCUACCGAGGCUU
RNAcentral lists this non-coding RNA (76 nucleotides) under Amedibacterium intestinale. Its description in RNAcentral is "skipping-rope RNA". It matches the Rfam family "skipping-rope RNA". Rfam says of the family: Firmicutes, Fusobacteria, AlphaProteobacteria, Spirochaetes. Downstream gene Lineage: Bacteria; Bacillati; Bacillota; Erysipelotrichia; Erysipelotrichales; Erysipelotrichaceae. The record is from Rfam by way of RNAcentral. RNAcentral also lists the same sequence under 1 other name.